This 486-nucleotide ribosomal RNA is filed under the name uncultured bacterium. Its description in RNAcentral is "partial 16S ribosomal RNA". It matches the Rfam family "Bacterial small subunit ribosomal RNA", at positions 28 to 523 of the family's 1533-position model. The record is from RNAcentral.
GACGAACGCUGGCGGCGUGCUUAACACAUGCAAGUCGAACGCUGAAGCACCAGCUUGCUGGUGUGGAUGAGUGGCGAACGGGUGAGUAAUACGUGAGUAACCUGCCCUUGACUCUGGGAUAAGCCCGGGAAACUGGGUCUAAUACUGGAUGCUACAUGUCACCGCAUGGUGGUGGUGGGAAAGGGUUUACUGGUCUUGGAUGGGCUCACGGCCUAUCAGCUUGUUGGUGAGGUAAUGGCUCACCAAGGCGACGACGGGUAGCCGGCCUGAGAGGGUGACCGGCCACACUGGGACUGAGACACGGCCCAGACUCCUACGGGAGGCAGCAGUGGGGAAUAUUGCACAAUGGGCGAAAGCCUGAUGCAGCGACGCCGCGUGAGGGAUGACGGCCUUCGGGUUGUAAACCUCUUUCAGCAGGGAAGAAGCCACAAGUGACGGUACCUGCAGAAGAAGCGCCGGCUAACUACGUGCCAGCAGCCGCGGUAA